CGGGGCGUAGCGCAGGGGUAGCGCGGAUGGCUGGGGGUCAUCAGGUCGGAGGUUCAAAUCCUCUCGCCCCGACCA
RNAcentral lists this transfer RNA (75 nucleotides) under Halobacteriovorax marinus. Its description in RNAcentral is "tRNA-Pro". It matches the Rfam family "tRNA". Rfam says of the family: Transfer RNA (tRNA) molecules are approximately 80 nucleotides in length. The record is from RNAcentral. Lineage: Bacteria; Pseudomonadati; Bdellovibrionota; Bacteriovoracia; Bacteriovoracales; Halobacteriovoraceae.